ACCAGGAUGGCCGAGUGGUUAAGGCGUUGGACUUAAGUUCAAAUGUACGGAUGUACGCGUGGGUUCGAACCCCACUCCUGGUA
This is a non-coding RNA of Nematostella vectensis (starlet sea anemone), 83 nucleotides long. NCBI's taxonomy places the organism in Eukaryota, Metazoa, Cnidaria, Anthozoa, Actiniaria, Edwardsiidae. The record is from Rfam.